GACAGAGGUCCCGAGCGUUUAGGCGGAAUCACUGGGCUUAAAGCGUGUGUAGGCGGAUGCCUAAGUACCUUGUGAAAUCCCAUGGCUCAACCAUGGAACUGCUUGGUAUACUGGGUGUCUUGAGCCCAAUUUAGGGGCUACCGGAACAAGUGGGUGGAAGCGGUGAAAUGCGUAGAUAUCACUUGGAACGCCAAUGGUGAAAACAGGUAGCUGGGAUUGUGCUGACGCUGAGACACGAAAGCCAGGGGAGCGAACGGG
RNAcentral lists this ribosomal RNA (258 nucleotides) under uncultured bacterium. Its description in RNAcentral is "partial 16S ribosomal RNA". It matches the Rfam family "Bacterial small subunit ribosomal RNA", at positions 524 to 776 of the family's 1533-position model. The record is from RNAcentral.